CCUACGGGUGGCAGCAGUCGAGAAUCAUUCACAAUGGGGGAAACCCUGAUGGUGCGACGCCGCGUGGGGGAAUGAAGGUCUUCGGAUUGUAAACCCCUGUCAUGUGGGAGCAAAUUAAAAAGAUAGUACCACAAGAGGAAGAGACGGAUAACUCUGUGCCAGCAGCCGCGGUAAAACAGAGGUCUCAAGCGUUGUUCGGAAUCACUGGGGGGAAAGCGUGCGUAGGAUGUUUCGUAAUUCGUGUGUGAAAGGCGCGGGCUCAACCCGCGGACGGCACAUGAUACUGCGAGACUAGAGUAAUGGAGGGGGAACCGGAAUUCUCGGUGUAGCAGGGAAAUGCGUAGAUAUCGAGAGGAACACUCGUGGCGAAGGCGGGUUCCUGGACAUUAACUGACGCUGAGGCACGAAGGCCAGGGGAGCGAAAGGGAUUAGAUACCCCAGUAGUC
RNAcentral lists this ribosomal RNA (446 nucleotides) under uncultured bacterium. Its description in RNAcentral is "partial 16S ribosomal RNA". It matches the Rfam family "Bacterial small subunit ribosomal RNA", at positions 338 to 795 of the family's 1533-position model. The record is from RNAcentral.